AUUCUGCCCAUGCGGGGAAGGAUGAGAAGCUUCGACCAAGGUUCGACUCGAGCGCCAGCGAGAGAGCGUUGCCGCAGGCAACGACCCGAAGGGCGAAGCGCGCAGCGCUGAGUAAUCCUUC
This 121-nucleotide small RNA is filed under the name Escherichia coli. RNAcentral's name for it is "partial RtT sRNA". It matches the Rfam family "RtT RNA". Rfam says of the family: This family represents a bacterial cis-regulatory element known as RtT RNA. The exact function of RtT is unknown although it is thought that it may be involved in changing the cellular response in relation to amino acid starvation. The record is from RNAcentral. Lineage: Bacteria; Pseudomonadati; Pseudomonadota; Gammaproteobacteria; Enterobacterales; Enterobacteriaceae.